UCCCUACGGGGGGCAGCAGUGGGGAAUAUUGCACAAUGGGGGAAACCCUGAUGCAGCGACGCCGCGUGGGCGAGGAAGUACCUCGGUAUGUAAAGCCCUAUCAGCAGGGAAGAAACAGGACAGUACCUGACUAAGAAGCCCCGGCUAACUACGUGCCAGCAGCCGCGGUAAUACGUAGGGGGCAAGCGUUAUCCGGAAUUACUGGGUGUAAAGGGAGCGUAGACGGCUGUGCAAGUCUGGAGUGAAAGGCGAGGGCCCAACCCCCGGACUGCUCUGGAAACUGUAUGGCUGGAGUGCUGGCGAGG
Molecule: ribosomal RNA, 305 nt
Filed under: uncultured bacterium
Lineage: Bacteria
Description: bacterial SSU rRNA
Rfam family: Bacterial small subunit ribosomal RNA
Source: RNAcentral